AGGGUUGUAGCUCAGUGGCAGAACAUCUGAUUUGAAGGCAGAAGGUCACAGGUUCGAUCCCUGGCAUCUCCA
Non-coding RNA from Podarcis lilfordi (Lilford's wall lizard), 72 nucleotides. Lineage: Eukaryota; Metazoa; Chordata; Lepidosauria; Squamata; Lacertidae. The record is from the annotation of a GenBank genome assembly.